This 496-nucleotide ribosomal RNA is filed under the name uncultured bacterium. RNAcentral describes it as "partial 16S ribosomal RNA". It matches the Rfam family "Bacterial small subunit ribosomal RNA", at positions 28 to 506 of the family's 1533-position model. The record is from RNAcentral.
GAUGAACGCUGGCGGCGUGCCUAAUACAUGCAAGUCGAGCGAACGGACGAGAAGCUUGCUUCUCUGAUGUUAGCGGCGGACGGGUGAGUAACACGUGGAUAACCUACCUAUAAGACUGGGAUAACUUCGGGAAACCGUAGCUAAUACCGGAUAAUAUUUUGAACCGCAUGGUUCAAAAGUGAAAGACGGUCUUGCUGUCACUUAUAGAUGGAUCCGCGCUGCAUUAGCUAGUUGGUAAGGUAACGGCUUACCAAGGCAACGAUGCAUAGCCGACCUGAGAGGGGGAUCGGCCACACUGGAACUGAGACACGGUCCAGACUCCUACGGGAGGCAGCAGUAGGGAAUCUUCCGCAAUGGGCGAAAGCCUGACGGAGCAACGCCGCGUGAGUGAUGAAGGUCUUCGGAUCGUAAAACGCUGUUAUUAGGGAAGAACAUAUGUGUAAGUAACUGUGCACAUCUGGACGGUACCUAAUCAGAAAGCCACGACUAACUACGU